RNAcentral lists this long non-coding RNA (331 nucleotides) under Citrus sinensis (sweet orange). RNAcentral describes it as "long non-coding RNA (CSIN_LNC001994)". Lineage: Eukaryota; Viridiplantae; Streptophyta; Magnoliopsida; Sapindales; Rutaceae. The record is from RNAcentral.
CUAAAUUAAGCAAGGAUUGUAUCAAUUGGGAGAAUUGACCACGACGAUGGCUUGGGGGGCAAAAAAAGAGAGAGAAAUUUACAAGCUGCUUUUUAUUCGAAAAUAAUAUGGUGGGCAUUGGGCAAUGCCCAAUAGGUUUUCUUCACAUGGAAGGUUUAGAAAAUGUUUUUUUUUUUUUUUUUGAGAAUUUAGAAAAUUAUUUUCUUUUCACUGAAAUUUCCUCACUAUCAAUCACUUUCUUGUGAUAGGAUGAUUGAAUUUGACUUUUACAUGAGAAUUAUAUUCUAUUUUUUAACUUAAACAUUAUCUAUGUACAGGAAUUGCAAAAUUA